Non-coding RNA from Pelobates cultripes (western spadefoot toad), 512 nucleotides. The record is from the annotation of a GenBank genome assembly. NCBI's taxonomy places the organism in Eukaryota, Metazoa, Chordata, Amphibia, Anura, Pelobatidae.
UGGGAGUUCAGUUUUAUUUGCCCCCAUCCGCUAGGUUUGAUGAGCAGAAUUAAACUGUGAUCAUGGACCGGUUCCCCUGUAUUAUAUAAAUGGCAUUAUCCAACAACUCAGAGGAACAGCUGGUGGAUAUGUCCCCACUCGCAGCAUAUCAGGUGGACACUAGCAAAGGACUUUGUUGUCCCGUGUCCCGUCCCCCCUCUGUAAAUAAAAUUCUGAUUGGGUGAUAUUCUAUUUUUUGUAAUUUGUUUUUUAAGGGCCAGCUGACACAAUUUCUGGCCCUUGCAUCUCCAAUGGUUUUUAACGAUUUGCAGCGUCUGCACUGCAAACUGACAAAUGGUCCAGAUCUCUUUCAUUGGGUUCCAGAUUUCAGUCAUCUUCCAGUAUCAGGACAGGCUGAAAUCGGGAUGUUGGAUUAUAAAAUAUUGACAAUGCAUUGAAUACCUCUGGUUCCCCUGUAGAUGUUUGCUAGUCAGUACUCUAGGUUUAGUGAGUUAACCCUCAACGAGUAGUGU